AUUGAACGCUGGCGGCAUGCCUUACACAUGCAAGUCGAACGGUAACGCGGGGCAACCUGGCGACGAGUGGCGAACGGGUGAGUAAUGCAUCGGAACGUGCCCAGUAGUGGGGGAUAGCCCGGCGAAAGCCGGAUUAAUGCCGCAUACGACCUACGGGUGAAAGGGGGGGAUCGCAAGACCUCUCGCUAUUGGAGCGGCCGAUAUCUGGUUAGCUAGUUGGUGAGGUAAAGGCUCACCAAGGCGACGAUCAGUAGCUGGUCUGAGGGGACGACCAGCCACACUGGAACUGAGACACGGUCCAGACUCCUACGGGAGGCAGUAGUGGGGAAUUUUGGACAAUGGGCGCAAGCCUGAUCCAGCAAUGCCGCGUGAGUGGAGAAGGCCUCGGUUGUAAGCUCUUUGUCUAGGGAAGAAAGGUUAGUGGCGUAAUAUCCACAACU
This 440-nucleotide ribosomal RNA is filed under the name uncultured bacterium. Its description in RNAcentral is "bacterial SSU rRNA". It matches the Rfam family "Bacterial small subunit ribosomal RNA", at positions 30 to 474 of the family's 1533-position model. The record is from RNAcentral.